AGCAUUCUAAAUAGAUCAGAGAGGUGGGAUGCUGGAGUCAGGACAAGGACUCCAGCGAGGACUAAAGGAGGCACUGGAGGGGGUCCCAGAGGAAAGACAAGGAUUAUAGAAAAUGCCAGAAAAAUGGUGAUCCACUGAGAGAACUGGCAAGGGCCAGAAAGAGAGCCAGCUUUGGAUGGGGAAAGAUGGAGAAGUGGAGAUUUAGGAGUCAUAAAUGCUGAGGGUCCCCCUAAGGAACUGUCAAGUUGAAACUGAAUGGCAAGGCGAAGGGGGUUACAGAAGCAGCGGGCUCAGCUGAGGAAAGAAAUUAUUAGAUCUUUUCCAUCAAAAAGGAAUCAUUUCAAGCCUCACCAUAUGAACGGUUACUGGAUAAUCCAUUGGUUGAAUGCCUUUGGGUGA
RNAcentral lists this long non-coding RNA (399 nucleotides) under Suricata suricatta (meerkat). Its description in RNAcentral is "lncRNA (ENSSSUG00005004919.1)". Lineage: Eukaryota; Metazoa; Chordata; Mammalia; Carnivora; Herpestidae. The record is from RNAcentral.